GAUGAACGCUAGCGAUAGGCCUAAUACAUGCAAGUCGUACGAGAAUUAUUUUUUCGUGGCGGACGGGUGAGUAAUACACGAGAAUUUACAUUUAGGAUGGGGAUAGCUGUUGGAAACGACUAGUAAAACCCAAUAUGCCAGUAAUGGUGAAAAGAGUAAUCUGCCUAGAUAAGAGCUCGUGCCUGAUUAGCUUGUUGGUGGGGUAAAAGCCUACCAAGGCGAGGAUCAGUAGUUGGUUUUAGCGGAUGAUCAACCACACUGGAACUGAGACACGGUCCAGACUUCUACGGAAGGCAGCAGUAGGGAAUCUUCUGCAAUGGGCGCAAGCCUGACAGAGCAAUAUCGCGUGAGGGAUGAAUGUCUUCGGAUUGUAAACCUCUUUUUUCAAGGAGGAAGAUUUGACGUGUACUUGAAGAAUAAGCAUCGGCUAACUACG
This 436-nucleotide ribosomal RNA is filed under the name uncultured bacterium. Its description in RNAcentral is "bacterial SSU rRNA". It matches the Rfam family "Bacterial small subunit ribosomal RNA", at positions 28 to 505 of the family's 1533-position model. The record is from RNAcentral.